Candidatus Nitrososphaera gargensis Ga9.2 is the source of this 92-nucleotide transfer RNA. It matches the Rfam family "tRNA". From Rfam's summary of the family: Transfer RNA (tRNA) molecules are approximately 80 nucleotides in length. Their secondary structure includes four short double-helical elements and three loops (D, anti-codon, and T loops). Further hydrogen bonds mediate the characteristic L-shaped molecular structure. tRNAs have two regions of fundamental functional importance: the anti-codon, which is responsible for specific mRNA codon recognition, and the 3' end, to which the tRNAs corresponding amino acid is attached (by aminoacyl-tRNA synthetases). tRNAs cope with the degeneracy of the genetic code in two manners: having more than one tRNA (with a specific anti-codon) for a particular amino acid; and 'wobble' base-pairing, i.e. permitting non-standard base-pairing at the 3rd anti-codon position. NCBI's taxonomy places the organism in Archaea, Thermoproteati, Nitrososphaerota, Nitrososphaeria, Nitrososphaerales, Nitrososphaeraceae. The record is from Rfam.
GGGUUCGUAGCUCAGCCAGGCAGAGCGUCUGGCUCUUAACCAGUCAGUCAUUCUGGGUUAAAAUGUCGAGGGUCCGAAUCCCUCCGAACCCG